Molecule: ribosomal RNA, 552 nt
Filed under: uncultured bacterium
Lineage: Bacteria
Description: partial 16S ribosomal RNA
Rfam family: Bacterial small subunit ribosomal RNA
Source: RNAcentral
UAGGGAAUCUUCCACAAUGGACGCAAGUCUGAUGGAGCAACGCCGCGUGAGUGAAGAAGGUCUUCGGAUCGUAAAGCUCUGUUGUUGGUGAAGAAGGAUAGAGGCAGUAACUGGUCUUUAUUUGAUGGUAAUCAACCAGAAAGUCACGGCUAACUACGUGCCAGCAGCCGCGGUAAUACGUAGGUGGCAAGCGUUGUCCGGAUUUAUUGGGCGUAAAGCGAGCGCAGGCGGAAUGAUAAGUCUGAUGUGAAAGCCCACGGCUCAACCGUGGAACUGCAUCGGAAACUGUCAUUCUUGAGUGCAGAAGAGGAGAGUGGAACUCCAUGUGUAGCGGUGGAAUGCGUAGAUAUAUGGAAGAACACCAGUGGCGAAGGCGGCUCUCUGGUCUGCAACUGACGCUGAGGCUCGAAAGCAUGGGUAGCGAACAGGAUUAGAUACCCUGGUAGUCCAUGCCGUAAACGAUGAGCGCUAGGUGUUGGGGACUUUCCGGUCCUCAGUGCCGUAGCAAACGCGUUAAGCGCUCCGCCUGGGGAGUACGACCGCAAGGUUGAA